UCAAAUUUGAAAUCUGGUACCUUCGGUGCCCGAGUUGUAAUUUGGAGAGGGCAACUUUGGGGCCGUUCCUUGUCUAUGUUCCUUGGAACAGGACGUCAUAGAGGGUGAGAAUCCCGUGUGGCGAGGAGUGCGGUUCUUUGUAAAGUGCCUUCGAAGAGUCGAGUUGUUUGGGAAUGCAGCUCUAAGUGGGUGGUAAAUUCCAUCUAAAGCUAAAUAUUGGCGAGAGACCGAUAGCGAACAAGUACAGUGAUGGAAAGAUGAAAAGAACUUUGAAAAGAGAGUGAAAAAGUACGUGAAAUUGUUGAAAGGGAAGGGCAUUUGAUCAGACAUGGUGUUUUGUGCCCUCUGCUCCUUGUGGGUAGGGGAAUCUCGCAUUUCACUGGGCCAGCAUCAGUUUUGGUGGCAGGAUAAAUCCAUAGGAAUGUAGCUUGCCUCGGUAAGUAUUAUAGCCUGUGGGAAUACUGCCAGCUGGGACUGAGGACUGCGACGUAAGUCAAGGAUGCUGGCAUAAUGGUUAUAUGCC
This 523-nucleotide ribosomal RNA is filed under the name Saccharomyces cerevisiae (brewer's yeast). RNAcentral describes it as "partial large subunit ribosomal RNA". It matches the Rfam family "Eukaryotic large subunit ribosomal RNA", at positions 109 to 646 of the family's 3401-position model. Lineage: Eukaryota; Fungi; Ascomycota; Saccharomycetes; Saccharomycetales; Saccharomycetaceae. The record is from RNAcentral.